Long non-coding RNA from Poeciliopsis prolifica (blackstripe livebearer), 578 nucleotides. RefSeq lists it as uncharacterized. NCBI's taxonomy places the organism in Eukaryota, Metazoa, Chordata, Actinopteri, Cyprinodontiformes, Poeciliidae. The transcript has 4 exons. The record is from RefSeq and is a predicted model, not a curated record.
CUCUUUACUAGUCUAGAUUUCUGAAAACUUUUCAAAACUGUGUCUACCGUCGUGGCAUCAUGUGACCUACGCUUUAGCAGCUCUUCUGCGGCGACGGCCCCCUGACUGGACCUCCUCAUCAGGUUCAGGACCUGGUUCCUCUUCAUUCGGCUCGUUGUCAACGGAUCAUUUGUAGCAGACAGACAUGUUCAGCGGCACACCUGGCACAAGGUCUGACUGAAACUUCCUCUUGGGCCAGUCCUUCGGCAGCUCAUUGUUGGCGAUCUCAGCCAGGUGGAAGUUGGCCACCUGUGCAGAGGCGCGCUGCACUCUGCCGCUGGGCGUCCGCUCUGGGUUAGCCUCCAUCUGGGCCUUCAGGGCCUCGUCCUCUUCAGGCUUCUGGGGCGUCUGGAAGAAACGAGUGGAAGUCUUGAUCAAAAUGCAACAUUAGCAGUGGUACUCCAGACCAGCCUUGGAUUUAUACGCUUUCCCACAGUGGGAGCAAUUCAGCAGCAACUUCUCCAGCUCAGACUCUUCCUUCCCACACUUCUUCAUGUGGUACACAUAUCCCAUGAUGCUGGUGAAGGCAGCAGUGCAGC